CAGUCGCCACGGUAAUACGUAGGUGGCAAGCGUUGUCCGGAAUUAUUGGGCGUAAAGGGCUCGCAGGCGGUUUCUUAAGUCUGAUGUGAAAGCCCCCGGCUCAACCGGGGAGGGCCAUUGGAAACUGGGAAACUUGAGUGCAGAAGAGGAGAGUGGAAUUCCACGUGUAGCGGUGAAAUGCGUAGAGAUGUGGAGGAACACCAGUGGCGAAGGCGACUCUCUGGUCUGUAACUGACGCUGAGGAGCGAAAGCGUGGGGAGCGAACGGGAUUAGAGACCCGCGUAGUCCCUGUCUCUUAUAC
RNAcentral lists this ribosomal RNA (301 nucleotides) under uncultured bacterium. RNAcentral's name for it is "partial 16S ribosomal RNA". It matches the Rfam family "Bacterial small subunit ribosomal RNA", at positions 509 to 807 of the family's 1533-position model. The record is from RNAcentral.